Molecule: long non-coding RNA, 665 nt
Filed under: Solanum tuberosum (potato)
Lineage: Eukaryota; Viridiplantae; Streptophyta; Magnoliopsida; Solanales; Solanaceae
Description: long non-coding RNA (STUB_LNC006019)
Source: RNAcentral
UCUUCGAUGUUAACAUCAUGUAAGGUGGUCUCCUCGCACUCGUCCAAUUCCAUAUCAGUCAUUUGUGUUUUCGGUUUUGGUGGCAAUACUGCUUCAAGGUUCUUGCAUUGCUCGGGGGAUAAUGUGUCGGGGAAUUCUACAGUAAAGUGAAUGUAUAGUUUUCCUCUCAUAAAUGGUCUUUGGUACAUAGGCAUUCCUUCAUCAUUUAUGGCUUUAAAUUGAUCUGUCGUGGCCAAAAACAAAGUUCACGAUUGAUAUCUAUGAGCAGAGAUUCACAUAUAAAGCAUAAUUGAUACCAUAGAGAUAAAAAAGGACACCAAAUUUCAACGAACAGCAGGAGAGACAUAGUGUGUGCAUGAAGAAAACAAUUAGACUUACACUCGCUGUAUUAGGGAGACAACGAUAUAUCAAGAAGUCCUAGGCAUAUAUCAGAAUGUAAAAGCAAUUAAAGUAUACUUUGGGCUUACCAGGCUUGACAACUUCUCCGGGUUGGGGUUUGAUGAUCAGCUGCCUAUUAUCUAGGUGAGUCAAGAUGAACUGGAAACCACAUAGGGCCUCGGUUAAGCUCAAGGUGUGCUCUACAAAGAGAUCAUCUCCCUUUCGCUUAAACUUGGGAUGUUCCUUCUGUUGCAAGACAAAAACUAUGUCCCCAGUGACGGUAUCAG